RNAcentral lists this ribosomal RNA (504 nucleotides) under uncultured bacterium. RNAcentral describes it as "bacterial SSU rRNA". It matches the Rfam family "Bacterial small subunit ribosomal RNA", at positions 28 to 523 of the family's 1533-position model. The record is from RNAcentral.
GAUGAACGCUAGCGGCAGGCCUAACACAUGCAAGUCGAGGGGUAACAGAAUAGCUUGCUAUUGCUGACGACCGGCGCACGGGUGCGUAACGCGUAUACAAUCUACCUUAUACAGGAGGAUAGCCCUAAGAAAUUGGGAUUAAUACUCCAUAGUAAUUUGAAUUCGCAUGAAUUUAAGUUUAAAACUUCGGUGGUAUAAGAUGAGUAUGCGUGAUAUUAGCUAGUUGGUAAGGUAACGGCUUACCAAGGCGACGAUAUCUAGGGGGCCUGAGAGGGUUAUCCCCCACACUGGUACUGAGACACGGACCAGACUCCUACGGGAGGCAGCAGUGAGGAAUAUUGGUCAAUGGAGGCAACUCUGAACCAGCCAUGCCGCGUGAAGGAAGAAUGUCCUAUGGAUUGUAAACUUCUUUUUUAUUUUGGGAAAGAAAACCUACCCACGUGUGGGUAGCUGACGGUACCAAAAGAAUAAGGACCGGCUAACUCCGUGCCAGCGCCGCGGUAA